UACGUAGGGUGCGAGCGUUGUCCGGAAUUAUUGGGCGUAAAGAGCUCGUAGGCGGUCUGUCGCGUCGGUCGUGAACACUUGGGGCUUAACCCUGAGCUUGCGGUCGAUACGGGCAUGACUGGCGUUCGGCAGGGGAGACUGGAAUUCCUGGUGUAGCGGUGAAAUGCGCAGAUAUCAGGAGGAACACCGGUGGCGAAGGCGGGUCUCUGGGCCGAUACUGACGCUGAGGAGCGAAAGCGUGGGGAGCGAACAGG
RNAcentral lists this ribosomal RNA (254 nucleotides) under uncultured bacterium. RNAcentral's name for it is "partial 16S ribosomal RNA". It matches the Rfam family "Bacterial small subunit ribosomal RNA", at positions 524 to 776 of the family's 1533-position model. The record is from RNAcentral.